Molecule: ribosomal RNA, 254 nt
Filed under: uncultured bacterium
Lineage: Bacteria
Description: partial 16S ribosomal RNA
Rfam family: Bacterial small subunit ribosomal RNA
Source: RNAcentral
UACGGGGGGAGCAAGCGUUGUUCGGAUUUACUGGGCGUAAAGGGCGCGUAGGCGGCCACCGCGAGUCGACUGUGAAAUCUCCGGGCUUAACCCGGAAAGGUCAGCCGAUACUGCGGGGCUAGAGUGCAGAAGGGGCAACUGGAAUUCUCGGUGUAGCGGUGAAAUGCGUAGAUAUCGAGAGGAACACCUGCGGCGAAGGCGGGUUGCUGGGCUGACACUGACGCUGAUGCGCGAAAGCUAGGGGAGCGAACGGG